This is a non-coding RNA of Ictidomys tridecemlineatus (thirteen-lined ground squirrel), 72 nucleotides long. The record is from Rfam. Lineage: Eukaryota; Metazoa; Chordata; Mammalia; Rodentia; Sciuridae.
GGGGAUGUAGCUCAGUGGUAGGGUGCUUGCCUGGGGUGCAUGAGGCUCUGGGUUCAAUUCCCAGCAGCACCA